CAGGACUUCUGUGGUAUGAUCUCUGAAAAGUUAAAAAAAAAACCCUGCUAACACAGCAUUAUGUUACAUUAACAUACCUGUGUCAUUGCAAGCGAAUAAUAUAGACCUUGCUUUGCCAUUAGUUCAGCAUGUGUUCCUUUUUCCACCACCAUCCCAUCUUUUAUGGUCACAAUCAGAUCUGCACUUUGAAUAGUGGAAAGACGAUGUGCUAUGACAAUUGUAGUCCGACCUUUGCUUGCCUACAAAACAAUCUGUAAUUUAUCCAGAAUUGACUUUUGUAUGUGAUGUAAAGUAGGAGUCAAUGUACAUUUUCCCAUAUAGUUAUACAAUUGUUCCAGCAGCAUUUUUGAAAAGGCCAUCUUUACUUUAUGUACUGCAGAGUCGUCUUUGUCAUUAAAUCAGAAAAGGAAAUUGGAAUUCAGUCACUGGAAGGACUUGUACUAGAAUCUGGUAUGGCAUUCUCUAGGUUCUGAAAAGUGUUGCUCCAUGCAGAUGUACUUGAUAAAGCAGAUGAGUAUGUCAGAUUCAAUUCCAAGCUUAGAAGAAAACU
Long non-coding RNA from Canis lupus familiaris (dog), 550 nucleotides. RefSeq lists it as uncharacterized. The transcript is spliced from 3 exons. NCBI's taxonomy places the organism in Eukaryota, Metazoa, Chordata, Mammalia, Carnivora, Canidae. The record is from RefSeq and is a predicted model, not a curated record.